RNAcentral lists this ribosomal RNA (517 nucleotides) under Bacillus thuringiensis. RNAcentral's name for it is "bacterial SSU rRNA". It matches the Rfam family "Bacterial small subunit ribosomal RNA", at positions 31 to 523 of the family's 1533-position model. Lineage: Bacteria; Bacillati; Bacillota; Bacilli; Caryophanales; Bacillaceae. The record is from RNAcentral.
UACCUGUAGAACGCUGGCGGCGUGCCUAAUACAUGCAAGUCGAGCGAAUGGAUUAAGAGCUUGCUCUCUAGAAGUUAGCGGCGGACGGGUGAGUAACACGUGGGUAACCUGCCCAUAAGACUGGGAUAACUCCGGGAAACCGGGGCUAAUACCGGAUAACAUUUUGAACCGCAUGGUUCGAAAUUGAAAGGCGGCUUCGGCUGUCACUUAUGGAUGGACCCGCGUCGCAUUAGCUAGUUGGUGAGGUAACGGCUCACCAAGGCAACGAUGCGUAGCCGACCUGAGAGGGUGAUCGGCCACACUGGGACUGAGACACGGCCCAGACUCCUACGGGAGGCAGCAGUAGGGAAUCUUCCGCAAUGGACGAAAGUCUGACGGAGCAACGCCGCGUGAGUGAUGAAGGCUUUCGGGUCGUAAAACUCUGUUGUUAGGGAAGAACAAGUGCUAGUUGAAUAAGCUGGCACCUUGACGGUACCUAACCAGAAAGCCACGGCUAACUACGUGCCAGCACCAAAAA